Long non-coding RNA from Brassica napus (rape), 2104 nucleotides. RefSeq lists it as uncharacterized. NCBI's taxonomy places the organism in Eukaryota, Viridiplantae, Streptophyta, Magnoliopsida, Brassicales, Brassicaceae. The record is from RefSeq and is a predicted model, not a curated record. The transcript is spliced from 2 exons.
CGACUCAACUAGGUUUGAGCUUUUAGGCUGCUAGAACUAGGUAAAUCGCUGACAGCCUUUGCGGCCAAAGCUUUUAUGAUCUCUUGUAAUGAUCGCAACGCUCUCACGCGGAUUCAAAAUAAGAUCUACUAUUUUCUCUAAACUCAUUUAUUAUCUCUUCGUGAUUUCUGCAUCUAUUUGGUCACUUGUCGUUGGCUCUCCAGAGAUCCGGGACCUCUAGGAAAUUAGGGUUUUUCUUAGUUUCCUAAUUUAAACGUAAAUUGACAGUGCGUAUUUCGGUUCCCACAAUGACCAUCAAUUUUCUGGGAUAUUAUGGUAUAUAUGGAAGGUCGGAAUAAUAAAGUAUUUAGUAAUCUUGAUACUGGCCCAAGGGAAAUACUUAAAUUAGCAGAAUUGGAAUCAACACUUUGGGCUGAUGCACAAAUACUCACUGAUCAAAAGAAGGAACUUCACAGAAUCCCAUUAGUAACGUCAGGACGUUGGUGCUUUAUUGAUGGUUCAUGGAAAGAUAAUGAAUUAUUUUCAGGACAAGGCUGUUAUAGUACCCUACCGGGUUUUGAUGGUUUAUUAGGGGCAAGGAAUGUAAGGGUAUGUCUUUCACCUCUUCAUUUGGAGGUGGAGGCUUUGAUUUGGACAAUGGAAUGUAUGAAGAAUUUAAGACAGAUUCAGGUUACGUUUGCCAUGGAUUGUUCUCAAUUGGUGAAUAUGGUUUCGAACCAGAAGAAUGGCCAGCAUUUGAAAGUUAUCUGAAAGAUAUCAAGUUUUUACAAGGAAGUUUCCUCAACUCAGAUAUCGUUCAUGUACCUCGAACGGAGAACCAAUAGGCGGAUAGCUUAGCACGCAGUGCUAGGUAACAACCUUCGUCGUUCACAUGGAUGCGGAGUUACCACUUUAGUUUAUAGAGUCAAUAUAAACCUGUGAAUGUCUUGUUAUCAAAAGAAAAAUUGUUUUUAAGAGAUUUAUUUUAUAUUUCAAUACAUAUUAUAUGAGUUAAUAAUGGAAAAUUUUAAUCUUUUAAAAAUAAUUGUAUUUUUGAAUUAUAAUUGUUCCAAAAUAUUAAAAUAGUUAAUUAUAUUAAAUAAUGUAUUAUUAUCAGAUGGAAUAUGUUUUAAUAUGCAUAAAACAUAACUAUUUAUUUUUCUAGAAAAAGAGAAAACAGAUUAAAAAUAUUUGUAAUUCAAGAUUGAUAUUUAUAAACAAAACAAAGCUGAUCAAAUUAGACAUACAUAACUAAUAUAACAAGAAACGAUAAAAAUAAAAAUAUGAGAAUGAAAACUAAUCAUGAGACACGUAAACAUAACAAUAACAACAUAAAUAAAAUAAAAGAUGAGAGAAAAAUAUGGUCACACGUAAGAGGAUGUAGCACUAUUGUCCCAAUUUAACCAAAUAUGCUAGAUUCCUUUAUUCAAAAUUUUGUUACAAACAAAAAUUUAUAAAAUUACUAUAGGGCAAGUGCCCCACCUUCUAUGUAAGUAGAUCCGCCCCUGCUAAGCUCCUUUGGGUUUUCUGUGGGUGGGUAGAUGUUCUCAAGAUAGGUUUGGUGUAUUAACCAAUAAAGGAGAGAAACAUGUCGUUUUAUCCAAUUUGGUGAAUGAGUACUCCUUUUUUCGAGAUAGGUUUGGUGUUUCCUUAUUUUAUUUUGUUAUCACAUAUUUUAAAUGGCGAGAUUCAUAUUUUAGCAUGUUCAACAUGUUUUAAUUUUUUUUAGAAAACUUUUAUCCUCUAGACUAAGUCACCAAUGAAAAAUUGUAUUGUGCUUUAAUUGUGGGGUUGAAAAAAAACAAAAAUGUAGUUGUAAAUCUUAAAAAAAUAAUUUUAGAAAAAACAGAAAUCAAUGGAGAGCCACAUCCGUCAAACCAAAAUUUAAGGAUGUAUAUAAAUUAAAUUAGAUGUAUAAAAGGUGAUAUACGUUUAAGUUUUCUUAAUAUACUAGUUUUUUAUAGACCCAAAAAUCAUUAUUAAUUUGUUGAAAGCACUUGAGAUGAAGAAACUCUUUCAAAUAUCGAGUCCCAUUAUAGCUACAUUCAUCAUCAUCGCAAUAGGGUUAAUGGCGAAUGAAACAUAUGGAAACAAAAAUUGUACUGAAAUUCUAAAUACCAAGGAA